AUUGAACGCUGGCGGCAGGCCUAACACAUGCAAGUCGAGCGAGCGGCGGACGGGUGAGUAAUGUCCGGGAAACUGCCUGAUGGAGGGGGAUAACUACUGGAAACGGUCGCUAAUACCGCAUACCAUCAGAUGUGCCAAGAUGGGAUUGGCUAGUAGGUGGGGUAACGGCUCACCUAGGCAACGAUCCCUAGCUGGUCUGAGAGGAUGACCAGCCACACUGGAACUUAGACACGGUCCAGACUCCUACGGUAGGCAGCAGUGGGUAAUAUUGCACAAUGGGCGCAAGCCUGAUGCAGCCAUGCCGCGUGUGUGAAGAAGGCCUUCGGGUUGUAGAGCACUUUCAGCGUGGAGGCGUUACCCGCAGAAGAAGCACCGGCUAACUCCGUGCCAGCAGCCGCGGUAAUAC
Molecule: ribosomal RNA, 406 nt
Filed under: uncultured bacterium
Lineage: Bacteria
Description: partial 16S ribosomal RNA
Rfam family: Bacterial small subunit ribosomal RNA
Source: RNAcentral